GGGAGGGGGGGCAAGCGUUGUUCGGAAUUACUGGGCGUAAAGGGCGCGUAGGCGGGUAUGCCAUGUCAGGGGGGGUGAAAAGGGCCUGGGCUCAACCCAGGAACUGCCUUUGAAACUGGCAAACUAGAGUCCGAUAGAGGAUGGCGGAAUUCCCAGUGUAGAGGUGAAAUUCGUAGAUAUUGGGAAGAACACCAGUGGCGAAGGCGGCCAUCUGGAUCGGCACUGACGCUGAGGCGCGAAAGCGUGGGGAGCAAACAGGAUUAGAUACCCUGGUAGUCCACGCCGUAAACGAUGUGUGCUAGACGUUGGGGGUCUUAGACCCUGGGUGUCGUAGCUAACGCGUUAAGCACACCGCCUGGGGAGUACGGCCGCAAGGUUA
RNAcentral lists this ribosomal RNA (379 nucleotides) under uncultured organism. Its description in RNAcentral is "partial 16S ribosomal RNA". It matches the Rfam family "Bacterial small subunit ribosomal RNA", at positions 524 to 896 of the family's 1533-position model. The record is from RNAcentral.